AUGGCGUUGAGGGCUAGGACGAUGCUGGCGCUGCUGCUCGCCGCGGUGGCGGUGACAUGCGCGCGGGCGCAGCUGCACGACAAUUUCUACAGCGAGUCGUGCCCCAGCGUGGAAGACGUCGUGAGGAAGGAGAUGGUGAGGGCGCUGUCACUGGCGCCCAGCCUCGCCGGGCCGCUCCUCCGUAUGCACUUCCACGACUGCUUCGUCAGGGGGUGCGACAGCUCGGUUCUGCUGGACUCGGCCAACAAGACGGCGGAGAAGGAUGCGCAGCCGAACCAGACGCUGCGAGGCUUCGGAUUUGUCGAGAGGGUGAAGGCCGCGGUGGAGAAGGCCUGCCCCGACACGGUCUCCUGUGCCGACAUCCUCGCCCUCAUUGCCAGGGACGCAGUAUGGCUGGUGAGUAUAGACUACUGGGCCAUUUUGCAAAUGACACGGUACGUGUGGAAGCCAAAUUCUAAUGCUGCUCGAUCAUGGUUUCUCCAGAGCAAGGGUCCAUUCUGGACAGUUCCUCUCGGCCGGCGAGACGGCAGCGUGUCCAUUUCCAACGAGACCGACGCUCUGCCACCCCCGACCUCCAACUUCACCGUGCUCACCCAGCUCUUCGCCGCCGUGAACCUCGACGCAAAGGACCUUGUCGUCUUGUCCGCCGGGCACACCAUCGGGACGUCGCACUGCUUCUCCUUCUCCGACCGGCUCUACAACUUCACCGGCAUGGAGAACCCCAGCGACAUCGACCCCACGCUGGAGCCACAGUACAUGAUGCGGCUAAAGAGCAAGUGUGCCAGCCUCAACGACAACACCACCCUUGUGGAGAUGGACCCCGGCAGCUUCAAGACCUUCGACACCGACUACUUCAAGCUGGUGAGCAAACGGAGGGGCCUCUUCCACUCCGACGGCGCCCUCCUCACCGACCCCUUCACCCGUGCAUACGUCCAGCGCCAUGCCACCGGCGCCUUCAAGGAUGAGUUCUUCGCCGACUUCGCCGCCUCCAUGAUCAAGAUGGGCAACGCCAACCCGCUCACCGGAAGCAAUGGUGAGAUCAGGAAGAAGUGCAGCGUGGUCAACCAUUAA
This 1071-nucleotide ribosomal RNA is filed under the name Triticum aestivum (bread wheat). Its description in RNAcentral is "partial small subunit ribosomal RNA". The record is from RNAcentral. Lineage: Eukaryota; Viridiplantae; Streptophyta; Magnoliopsida; Poales; Poaceae.